GAACUUGUCUAGGUCCCUAACAGGGGUAUCCAUCUCGGCGCUGGGGCAGGAGAGCAGUGGGGGGCGUGGAGCGGCGAGCAGGCUGUCUGAACCUGUUGGCCUGUCUGUCUUCUUCUGCCUGAGUUUGGGCUGCUGUAGAUUUCACUUCCUUGGAAAGGAGGAUCCCUGCUCUGAGUUUGGCCUACGAUAAGUUUCAUUUCCUUGGAAGGGCGGAGCCCUGCCCUGAGUCUGGGCUGUUGUAAGUUUCAUUUCCUUGGAAGGGAGGGCGGAGCUCUUCCCUGAGUCUGGGCUGCUGUAAGUUUCAUUUCCUUGGAAGGAAGGAACUCUGCCCUGAGUCUCGGGGUCUCUGCAAAUCGAACACUCCUUUGAUCCCGAAUUCUGUCCUAGCUCCCACCUCUUUCCUCCACUCUCCCCGACGAGUACUCUCUGCCUUCAACAGGCAGCCCAGAACCUCCGGUCUUCAUUCAGACUGUACUCUGAAAAGGUCCUCUGUAACAUCCAUCCGUACUUCCCCCAAGAGUAAUCUGGAGCAAAAACAGGUUUUUGGUUUCCUCAUCCUCUUUCUUUGUUGCUGACGAAACUAUUUUAUAAUCUCCUAUGGUCUUUGCAGCAGUGCAUGUAUAUUGCAAACAGAAACAAAGUCAGAGCGAUCAGGAAGCAUAAAGACCACCCCUGGUCCUCAACCUCAAAGAGUACAGCUGCAAGUACUUUGGUGUAGAGCUUUUCAGACAUUUUUCUAGAUUUAC
RNAcentral lists this long non-coding RNA (746 nucleotides) under Sus scrofa (pig). RNAcentral's name for it is "lncRNA (ENSSSCG00065028828.1)". The record is from RNAcentral. Lineage: Eukaryota; Metazoa; Chordata; Mammalia; Artiodactyla; Suidae.